CCUACGGGGGCAGCAGUGAGGAAUAUUGGUCAAUGGGCGGGAGCCUGAACCAGCCAAGUCGCGUGAGGGAAGACGGUCCUAUGGAUUGUAAACCUCUUUAGGCGGGGAGCAAUGCCGGGCACGUGUGCCCGGAGGGAGAGUACCCGCAGAAUAAGCAUCGGCUAACUCCGUGCCAGCAGCCGCGGUAAUACGGAGGAUGCGAGCGUUAUCCGGAUUUAUUGGGUUUAAAGGGUGCGUAGGCGGAUUUUUAAGUCAGCGGUAAAAGGUUCGGGCUCAACCCGGGCCGGCCGUUGAAACCGGGGAUCUUGAGUGGGCGAGAAGUAUGCGGAAUGCGUGGUGUAGCGGGGAAAUGCAUAGAUAUCACGCAGAACUCCGAUUGCGAAGGCAGCAUACCGGCGCCCGACUGACGCUGAGGCACGAAAGCGUGGGGAUCGAACAGGAUUAGAUACCCCUGUAGUC
RNAcentral lists this ribosomal RNA (459 nucleotides) under uncultured bacterium. RNAcentral describes it as "partial 16S ribosomal RNA". It matches the Rfam family "Bacterial small subunit ribosomal RNA", at positions 338 to 795 of the family's 1533-position model. The record is from RNAcentral.